AGUGAACGCUGGCGGCAGGCCUAAUACAUGCAAGUCGAACGGCAGCACAGCAGAGCUUGCUCUGUGGGUGGCGAGUGGCGGACGGGUGAGGAAUACGUGGGAAUCUGCCCAGUCGUGGGGAUAACGUAGGGAAACUUACGCUAAUACCGCAUGCGCCCUUCGGGGAAAGCCGGGGACCUUCGGGCCUGGCGCGAUUGGAUGAGCCCACGUCGGAUUAGCUAGUUGGCGGGUAAAGGCCCACCAAGGCGACGAUCCGUAGCUGGUCUGAGAGGAUGAUCAGCCACACUGGAACUGAGACACGGUCCAGACUCCUACGGGAGGCAGCAGUAGGGAAUAUUGGACAAUGGGCGCAAGCCUGAUCCAGCCAUGCCGCGUGAGUGAAGAAGGCCCUCGGGUGUAAAGCUCUUUUGUCCGGAAAGAAAG
Molecule: ribosomal RNA, 423 nt
Filed under: uncultured bacterium
Lineage: Bacteria
Description: bacterial SSU rRNA
Rfam family: Bacterial small subunit ribosomal RNA
Source: RNAcentral